AAACAUUUGGGUUUCAUACUAAGCUGAUUAGAAGGGAAAGAGUAUAUGAACAACAGGCUAUGACAUCUGGUUAUGCAAGCGUAACCCAGUGAGAACACCUGGUACUUCUUAGCGACAUGGCUUACAUGUUACACAGUGCGUAUGUGCUGUGUACUGGUGCGAUGGGGGUCUGCCAUAUUGGCAUGUGCCCUCAAGCUAGUGUGUGCUUGGAGGUGAGCACUGAGUUUGCCUGUCGGCUGUACGUUGUAGGUUAGCAUGCGUGAGGUUAGGUAAGUAGUAUAGCAGGUAGACUAGUGCUAUUGGCAAGGCCUAUUUGCUGACAGGCAGUGUGGUCGCUGAGCUGGUGUUAUGAAUAGGUAGCAUGUGGUGAUGAAGGUGAAUACAACUUUUG
Pelobates cultripes (western spadefoot toad) is the source of this 391-nucleotide non-coding RNA. NCBI's taxonomy places the organism in Eukaryota, Metazoa, Chordata, Amphibia, Anura, Pelobatidae. The record is from the annotation of a GenBank genome assembly.